CAUAUUCCACCAACACCAUCAAUCUGAUGGAUUUACCACUGAAAGCCCAUAUAUCAAAACUAGUCGUCCUUCAAACCCAAGAUCAGAUAACAACCGUCUGAUCCUCUUCACUCUCUUCUAUAAAUUCAACAAAGCAGCAUUUUCUCCGUCUACCUGCAACUCGGGUUUUCUCUCAUUCAAACAGAGCCGAAAUUUAGUCAGUAGAAGCUCUAUAUGAAACUCUAGUCAUCUGAAUCAAUGGCACCUAAAGCAUCAAAGGCAAGAAGAUCGCGUACGAUCAGAAGCUGUGCCAGAUUCUAGAUGAGUUCAACCAGAUCCUGGUAUCAGCUGCUGACAACGUUGGGUCGAACCAGUUGCAGAAGAUGCGUCAGGGUCUUCGUGGUGACUCUGUGGUUCUGAUGGGUAAGAACACCGUGAUGAAGAGGUCCAUCAAGAUUCAUGCUGAGAACACUGGCAACAAGGCAUUUCUCAAUAUGACACCUCUACUUGUUGCACUUAUCCCGAAAAUACGCUAACUCAGCCAAAUAAGAGCUUAAAUGAAACAAUUCUAGGAUUGAACAAAGAAAUGAGCAAAGUGGAGAAAGAAAGAAGCUAAAGGAGCAAAUGGGUGAAAUUCAGAUUUUCGAUCGAUCCAAGAUGAAGGUUCGAUCGAUCCAACAUGGAUCGAUCUCAGCAUUUCAAGAUAGAUCAAAACCUUGAACCCAAAUCAGAAAGCCCAAAGUUCGAUCGAUCUAACACUAUACUUCGAUCGAUCGAACACCUUUGUCUUUAUUUAAAUGAUUGAUCUUAUCCACAACUGUACCACCUAACAACCACUUUUGUCCUUUUCCCCAAAAUAUCUCCAAAAAUAUCUAGGAUUUGUUUUUUCCGAAAAAGCUCAACCAGUUGGAUCGAUCCAGCCUUAGUUCGAUAGAUUUCAGCCAAGUUCGAUCGAUCGAACUUUCCUCCAGUGCGAAAAAGUUAAAAAGUCAGCCCAUUCAAGUUAUCUUGUAUCCAAUCAUUGGGGAAUGUGUGUGCACGACCUCAGCUCAUUUUGAGUGUCACUUGACCUACCCAUAAAUAGAAUAUGAUACACUUUUUGAGGAAAAAAAGAAAAGGAGAGGAGAGAUUAGCAAUUGGGUAGAGGCAACUUUAGAGGCUAUUCUUAAUGUAGAAGAAAAGGAGGAGGAAACGAGAGACACCAUUGGAGGCCUUUCAUCUUCCAAGAAGCAGAUUUCUUCCAUAGAGCUUGCCCUUGAGGGUUGGAGGAGCAUCACCAUGAGUGGCUAGACAUCCCCUUGGGACUAAAGUUAGCCCCAAGCAUGCUUUCUAUAUCUGAAUCUUGUGUAUUAUUGAGGGAUUAGUGUUGUAAUACAUGUUUUGACAGUUUGAUAAAUAUAGAUCUUGUUUAUUCAA
Long non-coding RNA from Cornus florida, 1395 nucleotides. RefSeq lists it as uncharacterized. The transcript has 2 exons. The record is from RefSeq and is a predicted model, not a curated record. Lineage: Eukaryota; Viridiplantae; Streptophyta; Magnoliopsida; Cornales; Cornaceae.